AGCAUUGUCAAUUACCUGAAAAUUUGUCUUGUCGUCAUUCAGUUUCGGCCGACGUCGGCGUUCAUCAAAUUUGGUCCAAUUAGUCCCGAAAUGGCCGCUCGACGUUGUAUUGAUGCAAAGUGAGUUGCCUCCAGAAAAGCCCGUUGGCUCGGCGAGCAGUUGGCGAGCUUGAAAGUCCACAAUUAUCGCUGGGCUCGACGACGCUGAUUGCUGACUUUCUCAACUGGCUGCGAGAUAGUUAGCCGGGCAGGCUUCGCUCAGUUCGAAAUAUUAUAUCCAUGGUAGAAGAGUGACGAGAAUGUCUGCAUCACAGUUUUGAGUUUCCGUGUUCUGGUAUGGGGUCCAGCCUCCCUGCGUGGCCUUCGCAUGAUCUCCGGGGCUUCUGCAGGUGCAGGCUCCCGCCAUUGCGGGUGGACCUCGCAGAUGGACACACUCCCAUGCCAGAAGCCAGACGCCGUCGGAUGGCUUUCUUCGCCUCUCACAUGACAUUUAGCAGCUCCCUUUCUCACCACCUUCCCUACGUCCUUAACACGUCCCAACCUUCCUUGCUCCCUUCAUUCCUUCAACCGUUGUUUCCAUCUUCCCGUCAUUCCCUACUUUCUUCCUUGUGCCUGUUUCCUGUUUUACUCCUUCCUUCCGUCUUUCCUUUCUUCCUAAAUUCGUCCCUGCCGACCGCUCCCUUAGUUUCCUCUUUUCCUCCCUCCUUACCUCCUUCCUGCCCUCUACCCUACCUUUCUUACUUCCUUCCCGUCUUCCUUUCCCUUUCUUUGUUCCAUCCGUCCUUCUCUCAUUUCCUGCUUCAUCUUGUGCCUCCGAAACACCACCCUGCCUUUUCUCACUUCCUUACUUUCCUCAUUACUUCCUACCGUGUCUCUCUCUCUCCUUUUAUUCUUACUUCCGUCCUUCUAUGCUUUCUCUCUCCCCCCUCCUCUCUUUCCUCCCAUCUUUCCUCUCCUACCUACCUUCCUUCCUUCUCUUCCUCACUCCGCUCUUCCUUCCUUCCUCCCUUCCUCGCUACCCUCUGGUUGAGGUGAAGGUGUUCACCCGAGUUGCGGUAGCGCACAAGUUCUUCUGAGGUCUUCGGCACUGAUUCGCGACUGGAUGUUGGCCACACUGCAAGCCGGAAUGUUCUUUUUCUUCGCUGCUGAUUUACGAUCUCAGCUUCAUGUGUGAGAGUCUCGCUGAAACAACACCAUUUCUUUCCCAAGACAUCCAAACACAUGCAACCAAUAAAGCAAGUCACUAUU
Long non-coding RNA from Hippocampus zosterae (dwarf seahorse), 1247 nucleotides. RefSeq lists it as uncharacterized. The record is from RefSeq and is a predicted model, not a curated record. The transcript has 4 exons. Lineage: Eukaryota; Metazoa; Chordata; Actinopteri; Syngnathiformes; Syngnathidae.